CAGUCGCCCGGUAAGACAAAGGAUGCAAGCGUUAUCCAGAAUGAUUGGGCGUAAAGCGUCUGUAGGUGACUUUUCAAGUCCGCCGUCAAAUCCCAGGUCUCAACCCUGGACAGGCAGUGGAAACUACCAAGCUGGAGUACGGUAGUGGCAGAGAAAAUUUCCUGUGGAGUGGUGAAAUGCGUUGAGAUCGGAAAGAACACCAACGGUGAAAGCACUCUGCUGGGCCGACACUGACACUGAGAGACGAAAGCUAUGGGAGCAAAUGGGAUUAGAUACCCCCGUAGUCCCUGUCUCUUAUACA
Molecule: ribosomal RNA, 301 nt
Filed under: uncultured bacterium
Lineage: Bacteria
Description: partial 16S ribosomal RNA
Rfam family: Bacterial small subunit ribosomal RNA
Source: RNAcentral